Molecule: transfer RNA, 62 nt
Filed under: Cosmarium regnellii
Lineage: Eukaryota; Viridiplantae; Streptophyta; Zygnematophyceae; Desmidiales; Desmidiaceae
Description: tRNA-Ala
Source: RNAcentral
CGGCAUCGUCGGCGUGAUCGUCGCCGUGCUGGUGCUGAUCUUCCUCGGCACGCUGCCGGCCA